AGCCAUAUUUGGAUGAAGAAGUUUGUUCCAGUCUGACUUCUUAGCUCAACAUCAUCCAUGCAAUAAAGUUGAAGUGGAUGACUUUAAAAUCCCAGGGUUUAAACUUUUCUUUUAAUUUGGAAGCAUCCAAAAUUCUCAAAGAUUUCGGACUGAUGAUGAUGCAUUUCACUAGUAAUUUGAUAGAAAUGUUUGAGUCUCCUCCACAUAUUUCGAAGAAAAUCACAAGGAUUUACAAGAAUCAAGCUUUGAAUUGAAUGAGCUAGCAAAUCUACUCCCACAAUAACUUAUGAAAUUAAAGAUUUUGAUGUGAACCCAAAAUCUGAAAAGAUGACACGAAUUCAUGUAAAAAGUGAAACUUGGUUUAUGAUUGGCACUAGAGUAUUGUGUGAUAGAGUAUAUUAGGGUGUACCAGAGGUAUUUUUGAUAAUUAAAUAAGGUGUACUUAGUUAAUUUUACAUUUUGAUUAAAAUACUAGGAUGUACUCAAUUAAUUUUAAGGUUCGUUUAGCAACACUCAAAUAAAAAUAUCGUAGCUCGGCAACCCCUCUCUCCCUCUCUCACCCCAGGCACCUUCUC
RNAcentral lists this long non-coding RNA (575 nucleotides) under Prunus persica (peach). Its description in RNAcentral is "long non-coding RNA (PPER_LNC004247)". The record is from RNAcentral. Lineage: Eukaryota; Viridiplantae; Streptophyta; Magnoliopsida; Rosales; Rosaceae.